UACUGAGUCUCAGAUUAUUAUUCUGAAGA
RNAcentral lists this non-coding RNA (29 nucleotides) under Mus musculus (house mouse). The record is from RNAcentral. Lineage: Eukaryota; Metazoa; Chordata; Mammalia; Rodentia; Muridae.